This 497-nucleotide ribosomal RNA is filed under the name uncultured bacterium. RNAcentral's name for it is "partial 16S ribosomal RNA". It matches the Rfam family "Bacterial small subunit ribosomal RNA", at positions 28 to 507 of the family's 1533-position model. The record is from RNAcentral.
GAUGAACGCUGGCGGCAUGCCUAACACAUGCAAGUCGAGCGAACACACGAGGGGCUUGCUCCUCUCACGUGAGCAGCGGACGGGUAAUUAACACGUACGUGACCGACCGAGAAGGCUGAGGUAGCGUCGGUUAACCUAAUCUAAUACCGGAUAAUAGAUUGAACGGCAGGGAUCAAUAGUCAAAGACGGAUUGGCUGGCACUAAUACAGAUAUCCUCGCCGCAUUAGCUAGUUGGUAAGGUAAAGGCGUACCAAGGCAACGAUGCGUAGCCGACCUGAGAGGACGACCGGCCACACUGGAACUGAGACACGGCCCAGACUCCUACGGGAGGCAGCAGUGGGGAAUUUUGGACAAUGGGCGCAAGCUUGAUCGAGCCACUCCGCGUGCAGGACGAAGGCCUUCGGGUUGUAAACUGCUGUUGUACGGAACGAAAAGACGCGUACUAAAACCUGCACGUCAUGACGGUACCUAAAGAGUAAGCACCGGCUAACUACGUG